Long non-coding RNA from Equus caballus (horse), 2508 nucleotides. The record is from Ensembl. NCBI's taxonomy places the organism in Eukaryota, Metazoa, Chordata, Mammalia, Perissodactyla, Equidae.
UAUCACAGCCUGGGCUCUGAAAUCAGACCGCCUGGUUUAUACACUGGCUCGGCCCAAUUGAGUGGCCUCAGGCAAAUUGUUUAACUUCUCUGUUAAUUCAGCCUCAGUUUCUUUACCGGUAAAGUGAGAUAACACUAGCACCUACCCCUAGCCUUGUUCUGAGGAUUAAAUGCAGUUAAAAAGUAAAGCGCUUAAUUUUCUGUCCCACGGUAAAUUCUCAAUAAGCGUUAGCUGUUACAACUAUGAUUUCCUCUGAAGUCACACGCAGAGACCCAGAGACAAGGUCUUCGAUGCUAAUUAAACCUUGCAUUCUUAUUGAGCUUUAUCUGGCUGGGAUGUGCGGGGAGGCCAGCCAGGGUAGGCGUUAGUCCCGUGGGGCCAGAACUGGGUCAUGGGUGCUCACUAAGGCAGCAUAGGGUUCAGAAAGCCAGACGGUCAAACUGAAUCAGGGUUGGUUAGGGUUGGUGCCUAAGAAUAGAUGCCAACAGCAAAGGUGGGAUAAAAAUGAGGCUGCGAAGCUAAGACUGCAGCAUCUGAUGGAAAAGAUGCUGGGGGGGAUGGGAAAGAGUCAGGGAUCCGGGAAGAGCUCCUGGAUCACCCUUGGGUCUUGUAGAGACUGGAUCUGUGGGACUUCUUUAAAGGUCGGCGUGAAUGCCUUUUCUUUCUACAAUAGUGAGGAUUGGCUCCAGCUGUGAGUUUUGAAAACGCCCCUAAUAACAGUGGCUUGAACAAGAUAAAAAUUCAUUUCUCACUCAAGUCAAAACGUGAAGGCAGAAAUUCCAAGGCUCUUCUGUGGCUCUGCUCCCUCCAGCUCGUUCCUCCAGCUUCUGUAGGGCGUGGCCUCAGCCUGUGGUCCAAACAGCAUCCACGUCUAGAUAGCAGGAUGGACAAGAUGAAGAAGGGAAGGGAGCUGGGCCUGCAACCGCUCCACCUACCCCCAAAACUCAAUCACAGCCACUCUUGGAAGCAAAAGAGGUUGAGCAAAGUUCUUUUCUUCCGAGUAGUGUAUUAGUUUCCUAUUGGUGCUGUAACAAGUUACCACAAGCUUAAUGGCUUAAAACAACACAGAUUUAUCUCACAACUCUGGAGGUCAGAAGUCUGAAAAGGGUCUCGCUGGGCUAAUAUCAAGGUGUCGGCAGGCCUGGGAGCCCUUCUGGAAGCUCCAGGAGAGAAUCCACGUCUUGCCUUUUCCAGCUCCUAGAGGCCACCCACAUUCCUUAGGUCACAGCGCCUUCCACCUUCAAGGCCAGCACCAGCCGGGCAAGUCUUUCUCCCUCUGCUGUAUCUGAUCCUGACUCUUCUGCUCCCUUCGUCCCCAUUUAAGGACUCUUGUGAUUACAUUAGGCCCACCUGGAUCAUCCAGGAUACUCUCCUUAUUUUAAGGCCAUGGGAUUAGCAUCCUUGAUUUAAUCUGUGACCUUAAUUCCCCCUUGCCAUGUAACAUAAGACAUUCGUAGGUUCUGGGGAUUAGGAUGUAGACAUCUUUGGAGGAGCAUUAUUCUGCUUACCCCAGGCAACCACAGCAAAAAUUCUAUCACCAUAGAAGAAAGGCAGAGGCGCCAGCCCAGGGCACAGUGGUUAAGUUCACACACUCCACUUUCACAGCCCUGGGUUCACUGGUUUGGAUCCCAGGCGCAGACCUAUGCACUGCUUAUCAAGCAAUGCUGUGGCAGGUGUCCCACAUAUAAACUGGAGGAAGAUGGGCACAGAUGUUAGCUCAGGGCCAAUCUUCCUCAGCAAAAAAUAAAAAGAAAGAAAGAAAAGAAAUUAAAGGCAGAGGGACAUGGGACAUGCCACACUCCCCAACAAGGCUAUGAUCUCAGAGAAUGGAUGUCACGGUCCCUCAGUUCUGCCAUGCUGAUGCCAUGGGAGGUGCUCAUUGUGGAGGAGGAUCACCAGCUCCGAGGACAGUUGAAGCUGGGAGGUGCCACUGGCCACCUUUGUCACCACUGAGAGAAGCAUGCCUGGUGUUGAAGCCAACACAGAGCCAAGUGCCUUGACCAAUAUACUCAAGAAAUACCUGUCAGGACAAGUCACCACUUCUCAGAGCCCUCGAGCAUCUCCUAAAGCCCAGCUCUCGAAUGCUCUGACUCUAAGUCAGUGGUCAGGACCCAUGAGACCCUUCCAGCUUUCAUACACCCUCAUAGACGAUCAAACAUCCUGGCCUCAGCGGGCCAAACUCAGCCCAAAGGCAUAUGCAAUUUCCCCAAGUCACUUACUCUGCAUGGGAAACACCUCGUGUCACAGAGGCCCUUCCUGGCAACCUGACUUUUUUCCUUGUGUAUCUGCAGGGAACACUAACAAAUACUCUGGGGUUAACUGGAGACCCCCACGGCUCCCGUAGGACCUCCAUAUGGAAACUGGUGGCAGCCGGAGGAAGAGGGGAUCUGAGAGGUAGAGAAAGAACAGCUUGCUUUCUUUGAGUGGCAGCUGCAAGAGCCUGCAGUUAUUUCCUCUCUGCCCUGCUCUGCCCUAGCAUAGCUUUUCCUGGCCUGAGUCCCUCCCCUC